RNAcentral lists this ribosomal RNA (427 nucleotides) under uncultured bacterium. RNAcentral describes it as "bacterial SSU rRNA". It matches the Rfam family "Bacterial small subunit ribosomal RNA", at positions 34 to 507 of the family's 1533-position model. The record is from RNAcentral.
CGCUGGCGGCAUGCCUAACGCAUGCAAGUCGAACGAAGCCUUCGGGCUUAGUGGCGCACGGGUGCGUAACGCGUGGGAAUCUGCCCUUGGGUUCGGAAUAACAGUUAGAAAUGACUGCUAAUACCGGAUAAUGUCUUCGGACCAAAGAUUUAUCGCCCAGGGAUGAGCCCGCGUAGGAUUAGCUAGUUGGUGAGGUAAAGGCUCACCAAGGCGACGAUCCUUAGCUGGUCUGAGAGGAUGAUCAGCCACACUGGGACUGAGACACGGCCCAGACUCCUACGGGAGGCAGCAGUGGGGAAUAUUGGACAAUGGGCGAAAGCCUGAUCCAGCAAUGCCGCGUGAGUGAUGAAGGCCUUAGGGUUGUAAAGCUCUUUUACCCGGGAUGAUAAUGACAGUACCGGGAGAAUAAGCCCCGGCUAACUCCGUG